This 97-nucleotide transfer RNA is filed under the name Corynespora cassiicola Philippines. It matches the Rfam family "tRNA". From Rfam's summary of the family: Transfer RNA (tRNA) molecules are approximately 80 nucleotides in length. Their secondary structure includes four short double-helical elements and three loops (D, anti-codon, and T loops). The record is from Rfam by way of RNAcentral. Lineage: Eukaryota; Fungi; Ascomycota; Dothideomycetes; Pleosporales; Corynesporascaceae.
GACAGCGUGCCAGAGUGGUUAAUGGGUAUGACUCGAAUCAUCCUCUACUUGAUAUCAUAUGGCUUCGGCCGCGCAGGUUCGAAUCCUGCCGCUGUCG